GNAAUUAUUGGGCGUAAAGCGCGCNCAGGCGGAUAGGUCAGUCUNUCUUAAAAGUUCGGGGCUUAACCCCGUGAUGGGAUGGAAACUGCCAAUCUAGAGUAUCGGAGAGGAAAGUGGAAUUCCUAGUGUAGCGGUGAAAUGCGUAGAUAUUAGGAAGAACACCAGUGGCGAAGGCGACUUUCUGGACGAAAACUGACGCUGAGGCGCGAAAGCCAGGGGAGCGAACGGGAUUAGAUACCCCGGUAGUCUUGGCCGUAAACGAUGGGUACUAGGUGUAGGAGGUAUCGACCCCUUCUGUGCCGGAGUUAACGCAAUAAGUACCCCGCCUGGGGAGUACGACCGCAAGGUUGAAACUCAAAGGAAUUGACGGGGGCCCGCACAAGCGGUGGAGUACGUGGUUUAAUUCGACGCAACGCGAAGAACCUUACCAGGUCUUGACAUUGAUGGACAGAACUAGAGAUAGUUCCUCUUCUUCGGAAGCCAGAAAACAGGUGGUGCACGGUUGUCGUCAGCUCGUGUCGUGAGAUGUUGGGUUGAGUCCCGCAACGAGCGCGACCCCUAUCUUAUGUUGCCAGCACGUAAAGGUGGGAACUCAUGAGAGACUGCCGCAGACAAUGCGGAGGAAGGCGGGGAUGACGUCAAAUCAUCAUGCCCCUUAUGACCUGGGCUACACACGUACUACAAUGGGAGUUAAUAGACGGAAGCGAGAUCGCGAGAUGGAGCAAACCCGAGAAACACUCUCUCAGUUCGGAUCGUAGGCUGCAACUCACCUACGUGAAGUCGGAAUCGCUAGUAAUCGCAGGUCAGCAUACUGCGGUGAAUACGUUCCCGGGCCUUGUACACACCGCCCGUCACACCACGAAAGUCGGAAGUGCCCAAAGCCG
This 884-nucleotide ribosomal RNA is filed under the name uncultured bacterium. RNAcentral's name for it is "bacterial SSU rRNA". It matches the Rfam family "Bacterial small subunit ribosomal RNA", at positions 547 to 1429 of the family's 1533-position model. The record is from RNAcentral.